This 298-nucleotide signal recognition particle RNA is filed under the name Aotus nancymaae (Ma's night monkey). Its description in RNAcentral is "Metazoan signal recognition particle RNA (ENSANAG00000001523.1)". It matches the Rfam family "Metazoan signal recognition particle RNA". Rfam says of the family: The signal recognition particle (SRP) is a universally conserved ribonucleoprotein. Lineage: Eukaryota; Metazoa; Chordata; Mammalia; Primates; Aotidae. The record is from RNAcentral.
GCCGGGUGCAGUGGAGCAUGCCUGUAGUCCCAGCUACUCAGGAGGCUGAGACUGGAGGAUCGCUUGAGUCCAGGAGUUCUGGGCUAUAUGUGCUAUGCUGAUCGGGUGUCCGCACUAAGUUUAGCAUCAGUAUAGUGACCUCCUGGGAGCAGGGGACCACCAGCUUGCCUAAUGAGGGGUGAACCGGCCCAGGUCGGAAACAGAGCAGGUCAGAACUCCCAUGCUGAUCAGUAGUGGGAUGGCGCCUGUGAAUAGCCACUGCACUCCAGCCUGGGCAACAAAGCAAGAUCCCGUCUCU